UUUUAAACGAAAAUCCGUAUGCUCGAGUAGAGAGUAAAUUAUUCUUGAAAUGAGUGCUAAAAAACAAGAUCGCUAGGAAGAAUUAGAUACUGGGAGUUAAAGAGAUGUUCGGUAUAGAAUUGAUUUAGCAUAACUGCCUUUGGAUCCUAGAUUAAGAAUUCCAAUUGGGAAUUAUAAUGUUAAUAUUCAGGAUAAAAUCCAAAGAGCAUACGUACAAAUGGAUCCAUGUCAGCCAGGAAAUCACUUGUGUCCAUAGAAAGAACUUGGAGAUUCGUCGUUAAGACGAUUUAAAACUUCUUGAUUUAAUGAUUUUUCUGAUUGGUUGGGAUGCAGUAUAGCAAAAGAUGCCCUAUUUUUCUUUUGUUGUUUUCUUUUCAAACCAAAUAGUGAAGAACAUGGUGGUGGUGAUUCUUUUGUUGAUGAAGGGUUCUCAAAUUGGAAAAAUAAAUGAAGGUUUCAAACUAAUGUUGAGAAAACUAGUAGUGCACACAACUGAACGUGGAUUAAAUAUGAUGCUUUUGUGAAUCAGAAACAAAAUAUUGAGUGUGUUCUCUUUAAGAAGUCAAAAAGAACAAAAGAUGAGUAUCGAAUUCGUUUGAAUGCGUCAAUUGAUUGUGUUCAAUUGCUUCUACAAUAAGGGCUUUCAUUUCGUGGACAUGAUGAAUCUCAGAUUCAAGAAAUCAAAAAAAAAUUCUUGAAAUUUUGCAGUGAUUAUGUGAUUAUAAUAAAGAGAUUAAGGAUAUUUGUUUAAGUAAUGCUCCUGAAAACCUUGAAUUAACAUUACCUAAAAUUCAAAAGAAUAUUGUGAGUGUUAUUGCAUUUGAAACACUGGAUGUUAUUGUGAAGGAUAUUGGUGAUGGGUUAUUUUUCAUUCUUGAUGAUGAAUCUCAUGAUGUAUCAGCGAAUGAGCAAAUGUUAAUUGUUCUACGUUAUAUGAAUCAGAAAGGAAAAGUAACGAAAUGUUUUAUCGAAGUUGAACAUGUCUCUAGUACCACAGCUCUCUCAGAUAAGGAUUCUAUUGAUCACUUAUUCUCUAGAUUGAACUUAAGUAUAUAUAGUUUAAGAUAUCAAGGUUAUGAUGGGGCAAGCAAUAUGCGAAGUGAGUACAAUGGUCUUGGCACUUGAAGAGCAACAUAUAUUGUUGAUAUGUGCACUCAUGUAGAUUUUGAUGGGUUACGAGGUCUUAAUGAUCUUACAAAAAAGUUGGUUGCGAUGAAAAACAUGAG
RNAcentral lists this long non-coding RNA (1226 nucleotides) under Olea europaea subsp. europaea. Lineage: Eukaryota; Viridiplantae; Streptophyta; Magnoliopsida; Lamiales; Oleaceae. The record is from RNAcentral.